GUAGGUGGCAAGCGUUGUCCGGAAUUAUUGGGCGUAAAGCGCGCGCAGGCGGUCCUUUAAGUCUGAUGUGAAAGCCCACGGCUCAACCGUGGAGGGUCAUUGGAAACUGGGGGACUUGAGUACAGAAGAGGAAAGCGGAAUUCCACGUGUAGCGGUGAAAUGCGUAGAGAUGUGGAGGAACAUCAGUGGCGAAGGCGGCUUUCUGGUCUGUAACUGACGCUGAGGCGCGAAAGCGUGGGGAGCAAACAGGGAUUAGAUACCCUGGUAGUCCACGCCGUAAACGAUGAGUGCUAAGUGUUAGGGGGUUUCCGCCCCCUUAGUGCUGCAGCUAACGCAUUAAGCACUCCGCCUGGGGAUACGGCCGCAAGGCUG
This 372-nucleotide ribosomal RNA is filed under the name uncultured organism. RNAcentral describes it as "partial 16S ribosomal RNA". It matches the Rfam family "Bacterial small subunit ribosomal RNA", at positions 527 to 896 of the family's 1533-position model. The record is from RNAcentral.